Molecule: ribosomal RNA, 429 nt
Filed under: Gemmatimonadota bacterium
Lineage: Bacteria; Pseudomonadati; Gemmatimonadota
Description: Gemmatimonadetes bacterium partial 16S ribosomal RNA
Rfam family: Bacterial small subunit ribosomal RNA
Source: RNAcentral
UAGGGAAUCUUCGGCAAUGGACGAAAGUCUGACCGAGCAACGCCGCGUUAGUGAAGAAGGUUUUCGGAUCGUAAAACUCUGUUGUUAGAGAAGAACAAGGACGUUAGUAACUGAACGUCCCCUGACGGUAUCUAACCAGAAAGCCACGGCUAACUACGUGCCAGCAGCCGCGGUAAUACGUAGGUGGCAAGCGUUGUCCGGUUUUAUUGGGCGUAAAGCGAGCGCAGGCGGUUUCUUAAGUCUGAUGUGAAAGCCCCCGGCUCAACCGGGGAGGGUCAUUGGAAACUGGGAGACUUGAGUGCAGAAGAGGAGAGUGGAAUUCCAUGUGUAGCGGUGAAAUGCGUAGAUAUAUGGAGGAACACCAGUGGCGAAGGCGGCUCUAUGGUCUGUAACUGACGCUGAGGCUCGAAAGCGUGGGGAGCAAACAGG